This 440-nucleotide ribosomal RNA is filed under the name uncultured bacterium. Its description in RNAcentral is "partial 16S ribosomal RNA". It matches the Rfam family "Bacterial small subunit ribosomal RNA", at positions 338 to 795 of the family's 1533-position model. The record is from RNAcentral.
CCUACGGGCGGCAGCAGUGGGGAAUAUUGCACAAUGGUGGAAACCCUGAUGCAGCGACGCCGCGUGAGUGAGGAAGUAUUUCGGUAUGUAAAGCUCUAUCAGCAGGGAAGAAAAUGACGGUACCUGACUAAGAAGCACCGGAUAACUACGGGCCAGUAGCCGCGGUAAUACGUAGGGGGCAAGCGUUAUUCGGAUUUACUGGGUGUUAAGGGAGCGUAGACGGCUAAUCAAGUCAGAAGUGAAAACCCAGGGCUCAAACUUGGGACUGCUUUUGAAACUGAGUAGCUAGAGUGCAGGAGAGGUAAGCGGAAUGCCUGGUGUAGCGGUGAAAUGCGUAGAUAUUAGGAGGAACUCCAGUGGCGAAGGCGGCGUACUGGCCUGUAACUGACGUUGAGGCUCGAAAGCGUGGGGAGCAAACAGGAUUAGAUACCCGAGUAGUC